AUGAGGUUCUUCCAGGCUUUUUAUGACCAUGCCUGCGACCUGAGCGGCAUCAACACUACACACGUUGUGCUGCUACCAAAGAAAGAGAACCCAACUGAUAUUAAGGAUUUCAGGCCAAUUGCUCUAGUCCACAGCAUACCCAAGCUCGCAACAAAAGUUCUAGCAGUCCGGUUUCAAAGUUUCAUUCCGAGC
RNAcentral lists this ribosomal RNA (192 nucleotides) under Triticum aestivum (bread wheat). RNAcentral's name for it is "partial small subunit ribosomal RNA". The record is from RNAcentral. Lineage: Eukaryota; Viridiplantae; Streptophyta; Magnoliopsida; Poales; Poaceae.